GGAUUGUGGCUCAGCGGAAGAGCGUUCUCCUAGCAUGCGUGGGGCCCUGGGUUCCAUCCUCAGCACCA
Molecule: transfer RNA, 68 nt
Filed under: Marmota monax (woodchuck)
Lineage: Eukaryota; Metazoa; Chordata; Mammalia; Rodentia; Sciuridae
Description: tRNA.Ala
Source: RNAcentral